CCAGAGUUUGAUCAUGGCUCAGAUUGAACGCUGGCGGCAGGCCUAACACAUGCAAGUCGAGCGGAAACGAGUUAUCUGAACCUUCGGGGGACGAUAACGGCGUCGAGCGGCGGACGGGUGAGUAAUGCCUAGGAAAUUGCCCUGAUGUGGGGGAUAACCAUUGGAAACGAUGGCUAAUACCGCAUGAUGCCUACGGGCCAAAGAGGGGGACCUUCGGGCCUCUCGCGUCAGGAUAUGCCUAGGUGGGAUUAGCUAGUUGGUGAGGUAAGGGCUCACCAAGGCGACGAUCCCUAGCUGGUCUGAGAGGAUGAUCAGCCACACUGGAACUGAGACACGGUCCAGACUCCUACGGGAGGCAGCAGUGGGGAAUAUUGCACAAUGGGCGCAAGCCUGAUGCAGCCAUGCCGCGUGUGUGAAGAAGGCCUUCGGGUUGUAAAGCACUUUCAGUCGUGAGGAAGGUGGUGUAGUUAAUAGCUGCAUUAUUUGACGUUAGCGACAGAAGAAGCACCGGCUAACUCCGUGCCAGCAGCCGCGGUAAUACGGAGGGUGCGAGCGUUAAUCGGAAUUACUGGGCGUAAAGCGCAUGCAGGUGGUUUGUUAAGUCAGAUGUGAAAGCCCGGGGCUCAACCUCGGAAUAGCAUUUGAAACUGGCAGACUAGAGUACUGUAGAGGGGGGUAGAAUUUCAGGUGUAGCGGUGAAAUGCGUAGAGAUCUGAAGGAAUACCGGUGGCGAAGGCGGCCCCCUGGACAGAUACUGACACUCAGAUGCGAAAGCGUGGGGAGCAAACAGGAUUAGAUACCCUGGUAGUCCACGCCGUAAACGAUGUCUACUUGGAGGUUGUGGCCUUGAGCCGUGGCUUUCGGAGCUAACGCGUUAAGUAGACCGCCUGGGGAGUACGGUCGCAAGAUUAAAACUCAAAUGAAUUGACGGGGGCCCGCACAAGCGGUGGAGCAUGUGGUUUAAUUCGAUGCAACGCGAAGAACCUUACCUACUCUUGACAUCCAGAGAACUUUCCAGAGAUGGAUUGGUGCCUUCGGGAACUCUGAGACAGGUGCUGCAUGGCUGUCGUCAGCUCGUGUUGUGAAAUGUUGGGUUAAGUCCCGCAACGAGCGCAACCCUUAUCCUUGUUUGCCAGCGAGUAAUGUCGGGAACUCCAGGGAGACUGCCGGUGAUAAACCGGAGGAAGGUGGGGACGACGUCAAGUCAUCAUGGCCCUUACGAGUAGGGCUACACACGUGCUACAAUGGCGCAUACAGAGGGCGGCCAACUUGCGAAAGUGAGCGAAUCCCAAAAAGUGCGUCGUAGUCCGGAUUGGAGUCUGCAACUCGACUCCAUGAAGUCGGAAUCGCUAGUAAUCGUGGAUCAGAAUGCCACGGUGAAUACGUUCCCGGGCCUUGUACACACCGCCCGUCACACCAUGGGAGUGGGCUGCAAAAGAAGUAGGUAGUUUAACCUUCGGGGGGACGCUUACCACUUUGUGGUUCAUGACUGGGGUGAAGUCGUAACAAGGUAGCCGUA
This 1519-nucleotide ribosomal RNA is filed under the name Vibrio sp. CF4-11. Its description in RNAcentral is "bacterial SSU rRNA". It matches the Rfam family "Bacterial small subunit ribosomal RNA". The record is from RNAcentral. Lineage: Bacteria; Pseudomonadati; Pseudomonadota; Gammaproteobacteria; Vibrionales; Vibrionaceae.